GGGUUGUGAGGUUAAGCGACUAAGCGUACACGGUGGAUGCCCUGGCAGUCAGAGGCGAUGAAGGACGUGCUAAUCUGCGAAAAGCGUCGGUAAGGUGAUAUGAACCGUUAUAACCGGCGAUGUCCGAAUGGGGAAACCCAGUGUGAUUCGUCACACUAUCGUUAACUGAAUACAUAGGUUAACGAGGCGAACCGGGGGAACUGAAACAUCUAAGUACCCCGAGGAAAAGAAAUCAACCGAGAUUCCCCCAGUAGCGGCGAGCGAACGGGGAGCAGCCCAGAGUCUGAAUCAGCUUGUGUGUUAGUGGAACGGUCUGGAAAGUCCGACGGUACAGGGUGAUAGUCCCGUACACCAAAAUGCACAGGUUGUGAACUCGAAGAGUAGGGCGGGACACGUGGUAUCCUGUCUGAAUAUGGGGGGACCAUCCUCCAAGGCUAAAUACUCCUGACUGACCGAUAGUGAACCAGUACCGUGAGGGAAAGGCGAAAAGAACCCCGGCGAGGGGAGUGAAAAAGAACCUGAAACCGUGUACGUACAAGCAGUGGGAGCACCUUCGGGUGUGACUGCGUACCUUUUGUAUAAUGGGUCAGCGACUUAUAUUCUGUAGCAAGGUUAACCGUAUAGGGGAGCCGCAGGGAAACCGAGUCUUAACUGGGCGUUAAGUUGCAGGGUAUAGACCCGAAACCCGGUGAUCUAGCCAUGGGCAGGUUGAAGGUUGGGUAACACUAACUGGAGGACCGAACCGACUAAUGUUGAAAAAUUAGCGGAUGACUUGUGGCUGGGGGUGAAAGGCCAAUCAAACCGGGAGAUAGCUGGUUCUCCCCGAAAGCUAUUUAGGUAGCGCCUCGUGAACUCAUCUUCGGGGGUAGAGCACUGUUUCGGCUAGGGGGUCAUCCCGACUUACCAACCCGAUGCAAACUACGAAUACCGAAGAAUGUUAUCACGGGAGACACACGGCGGGUGCUAACGUCCGUCGUGAAGAGGGAAACAACCCAGACCGCCAGCUAAGGUCCCAAAGUCAUGGUUAAGUGGGAAACGAUGUGGGAAGGCACAGACAGCCAGGAUGUUGGCUUAGAAGCAGCCAUCAUUUAAAGAAAGCGUAAUAGCUCACUGGUCGAGUCGGCCUGCGCGGAAGAUGUAACGGGGCUAAACCAUGCACCGAAGCUGCGGCAGCGACACUAUGUGUUGUUGGGUAGGGGAGCGUUCUGUAAGCCUGCGAAGGUGUGCUGUGAGGCAUGCUGGAGGUAUCAGAAGUGCGAAUGCUGACAUAAGUAACGAUAAAGCGGGUGAAAAGCCCGCUCGCCGGAAGACCAAGGGUUCCUGUCCAACGUUAAUCGGGGCAGGGUGAGUCGACCCCUAAGGCGAGGCCGAAAGGCGUAGUCGAUGGGAAACAGGUUAAUAUUCCUGUACUUGGUGUUACUGCGAAGGGGGGACGGAGAAGGCUAUGUUAGCCGGGCGACGGUUGUCCCGGUUUAAGCAUGUAGGCUGGUUAUCCAGGCAAAUCCGGAUAAUCAAGGCUGAGGUGUGAUGACGAGGCACUACGGUGCUGAAGUAACAAAUGCCCUGCUUCCAGGAAAAGCCUCUAAGCAUCAGGUAACAUCAAAUCGUACCCCAAACCGACACAGGUGGUCAGGUAGAGAAUACCAAGGCGCUUGAGAGAACUCGGGUGAAGGAACUAGGCAAAAUGGUGCCGUAACUUCGGGAGAAGGCACGCUGGUGUGUAGGUGAAGUCCCUGCGGAUGGAGCUGAGACCAGUCGAAGAUACCAGCUGGCUGCAACUGUUUAUUAAAAACACAGCACUGUGCAAACACGAAAGUGGACGUAUACGGUGUGACGCCUGCCCGGUGCCGGAAGGUUAAUUGAUGGGGUUAUCCGUAAGGAGAAGCUCUUGAUCGAAGCCCCGGUAAACGGCGGCCGUAACUAUAACGGUCCUAAGGUAGCGAAAUUCCUUGUCGGGUAAGUUCCGACCUGCACGAAUGGCGUAAUGAUGGCCAGGCUGUCUCCACCCGAGACUCAGUGAAAUUGAACUCGCUGUGAAGAUGCAGUGUACCCGCGGCAAGACGGAAAGACCCCGUGAACCUUUACUAUAGCUUGACACUGAACAUUGAGCCUUGAUGUGUAGGAUAGGUGGGAGGCUUUGAAGCGUGGACGCCAGUCUGCGUGGAGCCAACCUUGAAAUACCACCCUUUAAUGUUUGAUGUUCUAACGUUGGCCCCUUACCGGGGUUGCGGACAGUGUCUGGUGGGUAGUUUGACUGGGGCGGUCUCCUCCCAAAGCGUAACGGAGGAGCACGAAGGUUAGCUAAUCCUGGUCGGACAUCAGGAGGUUAGUGCAAUGGCAUAAGCUAGCUUGACUGCGAGCGUGACGGCGCGAGCAGGUGCGAAAGCAGGUCAUAGUGAUCCGGUGGUUCUGAAUGGAAGGGCCAUCGCUCAACGGAUAAAAGGUACUCCGGGGAUAACAGGCUGAUACCGCCCAAGAGUUCAUAUCGACGGCGGUGUUUGGCACCUCGAUGUCGGCUCAUCACAUCCUGGGGCUGAAGUAGGUCCCAAGGGUAUGGCUGUUCGCCAUUUAAAGUGGUACGCGAGCUGGGUUUAGAACGUCGUGAGACAGUUCGGUCCCUAUCUGCCGUGGGCGCUGGAGAAUUGAGGGGGGCUGCUCCUAGUACGAGAGGACCGGAGUGGACGCAUCACUGGUGUUCGGGUUGUCAUGCCAAUGGCACUGCCCGGUAGCUAAAUGCGGAAGAGAUAAGUGCUGAAAGCAUCUAAGCACGAAACUUGCCCCGAGAUGAGUUCUCCCUGAGACUUUAAGUCUCCUGAAGGAACGUUAAAGACGAUGACGUUGAUAGGCCGGGUGUGUAAGCGCAGCGAUGCGUUGAGCUAACCGGUACUAAUGAACCGUGAGGCUUAACCUUACAACGCCGAAG
This 2923-nucleotide ribosomal RNA is filed under the name Klebsiella pneumoniae. RNAcentral's name for it is "bacterial LSU rRNA". It matches the Rfam family "Bacterial large subunit ribosomal RNA". The record is from RNAcentral. Lineage: Bacteria; Pseudomonadati; Pseudomonadota; Gammaproteobacteria; Enterobacterales; Enterobacteriaceae.